AACGCGAAGAACCUUACCAGGCCUUGACAUCCAAUGAACUUUCUAGAGAUAGAUUGGUGCCUUCGGGAACAUUGAGACAGGUGCUGCACGGCUGUCGUCAGCUCGUGUCGUGGGAUGUUGGGUUAAGUCCCGUAACGAGCGCAACCCUUGUCCUUAGUUACCAGCACGUUAUGGUGGGCACUCUAAGGAGACUGCCGGUGACAAACCGGAGGAAGGUGGGGAUGACGUCAAGUCAUCAUGGCCCUUACGGCCUGGGCUACACACGUGCUACAAUGGUCGGUACAGAGGGUUGCCAAGCCGCGAGGUGGAGCUAAUCCCAGAAAACCGAUCGUAGUCCGGAUCGCAGUCUGCAACUCGACUGCGUGAAGUCGGAAUCGCUAGUAAUCGCGAAUCAGAAUGUCGCGGUGAAUACGUUCCCGGGCCUUGUACACACCGA
RNAcentral lists this ribosomal RNA (436 nucleotides) under uncultured bacterium. Its description in RNAcentral is "bacterial SSU rRNA". It matches the Rfam family "Bacterial small subunit ribosomal RNA", at positions 958 to 1393 of the family's 1533-position model. The record is from RNAcentral.